This 466-nucleotide ribosomal RNA is filed under the name Oribacterium sinus. RNAcentral's name for it is "bacterial SSU rRNA". It matches the Rfam family "Bacterial small subunit ribosomal RNA", at positions 28 to 496 of the family's 1533-position model. Lineage: Bacteria; Bacillati; Bacillota; Clostridia; Lachnospirales; Lachnospiraceae. The record is from RNAcentral.
GAUGAACGCUGGCGGCGUGCCUAACACAUGCAAGUCGAACGAGAUGCGUAUCGGAAAGCUUCGGCCGGAAGAUACGUUAUCUAGUGGCGGACGGGUGAGUAACACGUGGGUAACCUGCCUUAUGGAGGGGGAUAACAGAGAGAAAUCACUGCUAGUACCGCAUAAGCACACAGUACCGCAUGGUACAGGGUGAAAAGAUUUAUCACCAUAAGAUGGACCCGCGUCUGAUUAGCCAGUUGGCAGGGUAAAAGCCUACCAAAGCAACGAUCAGUAGCCGAUCUGAGAGGAUGACCGGCCACAUUGGGACUGAGACACGGCCCAAACUCCUACGGGAGGCAGCAGUGGGGAAUAUUGCACAAUGGGGGAAACCCUGAUGCAGCGACGCCGCGUGAGUGAAGAAGUAUUUCGGUAUGUAAAGCUCUAUCAGCAGGGAAGAUAAUGACAGUACCUGACUAAGAAGCCCCGG